UUUUGCUGGAUAUCCCUGCCUACCUGAGGCCUUCCAAAGCUCAGUUGUCCUAGAGCCUCAUCCGUGGCCUUGGGCAUCUCCAGAGGAAGGAAUCCACUGUUUCUCUGGACAGCAGUGCCAGCUCCUCAUCUCUCUGUAAAGAGAUUCCUCCCAGCUCAGCUCCUGCUCAGAGGAUUGACACCAUGGGCUGCUUGGGACAGUGAUCAGCUGAGUGUCAGAACCCUCCAGGAACAGACUGCUUAUGUGAGCCCCGUGGGGAUCCUCAUCGUAGAGCUUAACGCACACUGCAGCUCCUGAUGCUUGAACAAUCAAAGUCCAGCAUUAUCUGUUCUCACAGCACACAGAUCUUCUUGCAGUCACCAUCAGUUUCUGCAGACACCUUUUGUUUUCCUGCCCAUCUCCCUACACCACGCGUUCCAUCAGCCCCCUGUGAUGUGCAGGUCAUGGCAUGGUACAAAUCUGUAUCUGGUCUCCAGGUUCUGAUCUUCAGUUGUUCCCUUUGAGCUGUGGCCAUUCCUCUGCACAUCAAAGUUUCCUUUUCAUAGGAACCAAUGGAUUUCCAGAAACUCACAUGUGCUGUGGAUACAUCAGUAGUGACUCAGAAUGCUGAAGGCGGUUUCCUACAGUCUCUCCUCAGCACCUUUUAAACUGCUUUGCUAGCUUCUUGUUCAGAUUAUCCUCAUAUCAUACCACAGGAAAAUGUCUGUUUAUUCUCCUAAAAACAGUUCCUAUACAUGCAAUCACUGCCUUGGAAAUUAUGGAAAAUUGUGUUGUUAUUGUUCAUCAGCAAUUAUAAUUCCAUUUACUUUCAGGAGUGCAAAAUGUAUGGGGCCAGGAGAGCUCAGCUGGAAUCAUCCCACCUCUGAAACCUCCCAGUCCAACUCCACACAGACAUACACACACAUUCACACUGAUAAUUACCUGCAUUUACUGAACAGGACAGGUAUGAGGAGUGGCAGGAUGUGCCUAGGAGCAUUGGCAAAGCAUGUUUUCUCUUUACCUAAGGUUGUGUUGGACCUAAAUACUUGCCUUGUGUAUAUUUGUGUAAAGCAUUGCUCUUUGCUCAGGAAUUAAACCUAAGUUGAAGGCAAACAGGCUGCUUACCAGCCAGGCAGGUCUGCUGGUUCUCCCCUUUGCUGAGUGGGCUGCCAGGCUCUGCUUUGGGGCUGUCCUGCUCCCUUUGUCCCCUGACUCAGCACAACCAGGGUCACACAACCUCUAUAAAGGGAGGAGUAGAUCAGAGAGGUGACUCAGGAUACCCCACUUCUCUCCCUUUCACAUGGCACCAGUUGCUUACUUCGCUAAAAACCGAGAGAAGGGAAGGAAUUAUUUCCCCAUGGUGUCAGUAAUCCCACGCCCCAAGGGCUGCUGACCCACACAGAGAAACCUGGUGCUCUGGGGCAGAGGGUUGAGCUGCAGCCACAGCUGCAUGGGGCCUUGUUCAGGAUUGCUGUGUGUUUGGAGGCACUGAUUUCAGCGAUUUGAAGGGCUCUGAUGAAAUGAUUCAGACUGCAAAAUAAAAUAACGCACCUGCUGAAGGGGAUUUCAGAAUAUGGCUUAAAAACACAACAGGCGAACCACACGUCACGGCCAGGAAACAGCAUCAGCCUUCAGGCACAUGAAAAGGGUGAACUCAAACAUUUGCUUUUGUUUAUUUCAGUGAAGGACUGGGAUGAAGUUUGGGGGAAGGGGAGGAGCUCACCCUCAGCAUGGCGUAAAGGCAGCAUAAAAAAUACUCUGACACACUGACCUCCACCAGCAGCACUGCAGACUCCAGCCUGUAUUUAAGUCAGUGCUAAUAUAAACUUCCUCCUCUUCUUUGGGUGCUUCUUUGGGCAACUCUGUUGACAAACUGCAGAGCAGAUAGAGAAGUGUGGGCUGUGGCUGUGCACCAGGAACUGAGUGGUUCUGAACAGCCUGAUGGCAGCACUGCCCAGCUGGACCCACUCACAGCAGCUCCUGGUGUGGGGCAGAGCUCUGUGCAGCCAGCCCUGGCUCUGCUGCUGCUGUGUAUUCACACUUGUCCAUUUUACAUUCAGAAUAACAGAAAUUAUUGCACUUCCUACUGUGAGGUUUGCUCUAAUUAAGUGGAGUCACAGCCCAUAGCAACUUCAGCACAGCCACUGCUUACACUGAUGUGCAACUUCUGCUUCCUAUCAGUGCACUGAGAUCAGCACAGGUGAGCUGCAAACAUGAACACUGCUUGUAUUAAUGAAGACUGUUUGGAACUGGGUAACGUUGUCAUGGAUGUGAAAGCCAUAAAAGCCACAAAUUUAAACAUCUCUGUGUACUUUCUGAUAUUCUGAAAAUGACAUUUACUUGCAGAAGGUCUGAGAAUUAAUAAAACAGACAGCGGGGAGAAAGAGCCAUCAGGCUGAUCCGAACUGUUGCCUUCAUGAUCCAUUUUUCAG
Molecule: long non-coding RNA, 2411 nt
Organism: Lagopus muta (rock ptarmigan)
Lineage: Eukaryota; Metazoa; Chordata; Aves; Galliformes; Phasianidae
Exons: 4
Source: RefSeq, a predicted model, not a curated record